UGAGAUCUCGGCAAAAAGUCUGACGAUUUAUUCCAAAACAUGAUGCAUGAUGGGAUACACUAAGCUUUGUAUAGCGCUCCAGAGCAGUAUUGGAGAGGUUUAGUGUGUGUUAAGGACGCUGUGCUUUGGCAUUAUUAAGACCGGGGACAGUCUUGUGCACACACUGUCACGUACACACACUCUCAAGUGGCCAAGACUGCAAGUGUGGGUAUCUGGACAGGGUCAAAGUCUUAAAAAUGAUCCCUAAACACAUCACAGUCUUAAUAAUCCAGUUUAACACUUGUAUGAUAUUGUACAAGCCCCAGGACUGUCUCAUCUGACACUAUCAAAGAAUUCAUAUGACUAUAGCUUGUUAUUAAUUACUUGCUUUCAAUAAUGGAUUCAUUUAACAUUUAAUUAUACAGCAUCUUUACAGAGGUGUAAUGUACAAGCUGCACGUAAUUAAUAAUAUGUCCUUCCUUCUGUCUUACAGGAUUUUUUCCAGAUAAUGCUGUUCUUCUUUUUCAGGUCUAAAAUAUCGAGCUCAACAGCUAUUUUAAGAGCCAACCCUCACAAACCUUCCUAAAACCUAAAAGAGCUAUUACUGAGUCUCAGCGAAUCUUGCCAUGAUCAGCUCUUCCCAGAAGAGAAGGAAGACCAAGGAUAUGAUUUGCUCAGGAUGAGGAAUGAAGAUGGCCAUCUUGAGCUCAAACAAACAGAAGUCCUCUGAUGAUCUCAUCAGCCAAAUGAGGGCUUUUGACCAAGUGAUGCUCUUGAAAGGAGUGAAAGAAGAGGAUGUGGUAAAUUGUCUUCAGAGAAAAGCUUCUCAAAAGAUCUUAAAACAGCUUGAAGAAUGGUAAGUGUACAGUACUACAAGGGUCAUAGUUACUCACCCUGCUAAAACCACACAGAACAUAAGCUGCGCUCUCUGUCCAUUAAACAACUUCUUCUGCAUUGUUUGUUUCACUUUGACCAGGUCUG
Long non-coding RNA from Carassius gibelio (silver crucian carp), 960 nucleotides. RefSeq lists it as uncharacterized. The record is from RefSeq and is a predicted model, not a curated record. NCBI's taxonomy places the organism in Eukaryota, Metazoa, Chordata, Actinopteri, Cypriniformes, Cyprinidae. The transcript has 3 exons.